UUGAUCUCGCUACUCAUAUAUACAAUCAACUACACUCAUUGGGAACUUGGAGAGAUUGACGCUCCACUUUGAUAUUCCCGAGCCUUAUUAGUGGCAUAUGUCGGGCUGCGGGUGUUGCCCUCCUACCUGAGGAGUUACCUGAAAAACCCAGCCCCAUGAUCAAACGAACUACAUUUGACGCUCAGACAAGGGCUCGGGUUAAGCACA
Molecule: long non-coding RNA, 207 nt
Filed under: Olea europaea (common olive)
Lineage: Eukaryota; Viridiplantae; Streptophyta; Magnoliopsida; Lamiales; Oleaceae
Description: long non-coding RNA (OEUR_LNC014292)
Source: RNAcentral